RNAcentral lists this small nuclear RNA (24 nucleotides) under Arabidopsis thaliana (thale cress). RNAcentral's name for it is "snRNA_05243". The record is from RNAcentral. Lineage: Eukaryota; Viridiplantae; Streptophyta; Magnoliopsida; Brassicales; Brassicaceae.
GAUAAAGAUGCUCUUCAUGUUAAA